RNAcentral lists this ribosomal RNA (429 nucleotides) under Gemmatimonadota bacterium. RNAcentral describes it as "Gemmatimonadetes bacterium partial 16S ribosomal RNA". It matches the Rfam family "Bacterial small subunit ribosomal RNA", at positions 355 to 776 of the family's 1533-position model. Lineage: Bacteria; Pseudomonadati; Gemmatimonadota. The record is from RNAcentral.
UAGGGAAUCUUCGGCAAUGGACGAAAGUCUGACCGAGCAACGCCGCGUGAGUGAAGAAGGUUUUCGGAUCAUAAAACUCUGUUGUUAGAGAAGAACAAGGACGUUAGUAACUGAACGUCCCCUGACGGUAUCUAACCAGAAAGCCACGGCUAACUACGUGCCAGCAGCCGCGGUAAUACGUAGGUGGCAAGCGUUGUCCGGAUUUAUUGGGCGUAAAGCGAGCGCAGGCGGUUUCUUAAGUCUGAUGUGAAAGCCCCCGGCUCAACCGGGGAGGGUCAUUGGAAACUGGGGGACUUGAGUGCAGAAGAGGAGAGUGGAAUUCCAUGUGUAGCGGUGAAAUGCGUAGAUAUAUGGAGGAACACCAGUGGCGAAGGCGGCUCUCUGGUCUGUAACUGACGCUGAGGCUCGAAAGCGUGGGGAGCAAACAGG